Pelobates cultripes (western spadefoot toad) is the source of this 314-nucleotide non-coding RNA. The record is from the annotation of a GenBank genome assembly. NCBI's taxonomy places the organism in Eukaryota, Metazoa, Chordata, Amphibia, Anura, Pelobatidae.
GGGAACAUUCAGCAUAGUGAGAGAAUCACAAGCAGCAAUUGAAAUAUAAGCUCUUUCUUAAAAGGAAAACGGCAAAUAAACCUAGUCACACAAACCCUGUCAUACCGUGUCUAUGGCAGUGCAGGGUACAAAAUAAAUAUGGUGGAAAUGUCCCAUGAUCAAUAGGCCUGCAGCUGUACUAGAACUUGAAGUCAAGCCCAAUAACAUGAGGAAUAAAUAGGUUUCCAUGGAGGCUAGUUCAUACAGGUUACCCUCUUUAGUGGCCAAAGAGAGACGGUUCACAUAGAUACAGAGCCUGCGUAAGACAAUACCCA